RNAcentral lists this unclassified non-coding RNA (245 nucleotides) under Hevea brasiliensis (rubber tree). Lineage: Eukaryota; Viridiplantae; Streptophyta; Magnoliopsida; Malpighiales; Euphorbiaceae. The record is from RNAcentral.
CUGAAGAAGCCCUGAGGAAGACAAGAUGGCAAAAUGCUAGCACAGCAGAGCGGCUCCAGGAGGAAUUUAAACGGCUCACUGUCCAAAUGGCAUCAACUUUUGAGGCUAAUGAAAAAUUGGCUAGCAAAGCAAUGAAUGAAGCUAACGAAUUCCGCUUAAAGAAAAUGCAUCUUGAAAAUAUGCUCCGGAAAUCAUCUGAGGAGCUUCAGUCAACCAAAGACCAUCAUGAAGCAAGGAUUUUUGAG